UACAGAGGUCUCGAGCGUUGUUCGGAUUCAUUGGGCGUAAAGGGCGCGUAGGCGGCGGGGUAAGUCUGGUGUGAAAUCUAGGAGCUCAACUCCUAAACUGCACUGGAUACUGCUCUGCUAGAGGACUGGAGAGGAGACUGGAAUUCACGGUGUAGCAGUGAAAUGCGUAGAUAUCGUGAGGAAGACCAGUGGCGAAGGCGGGUCUCUGGACAGUUACUGACGCUGAGGCGCGAAGGCCAGGGGAGCAAACGGG
RNAcentral lists this ribosomal RNA (253 nucleotides) under uncultured bacterium. Its description in RNAcentral is "partial 16S ribosomal RNA". It matches the Rfam family "Bacterial small subunit ribosomal RNA", at positions 524 to 776 of the family's 1533-position model. The record is from RNAcentral.